This 398-nucleotide ribosomal RNA is filed under the name uncultured Victivallaceae bacterium. Its description in RNAcentral is "bacterial SSU rRNA". It matches the Rfam family "Bacterial small subunit ribosomal RNA", at positions 984 to 1382 of the family's 1533-position model. The record is from RNAcentral. Lineage: Bacteria; Pseudomonadati; Lentisphaerota; Lentisphaeria; Victivallales; Victivallaceae.
ACAUCAGCCGGACGGGUGUGAAAGCACUCUUUCCGCAAGGACUGGCUGACAGGUGCUGCAUGGCUGUCGUCAGCUCGUGUCGUGAGAUGUUCGGUUAAGUCCGGCAACGAGCGCAACCCGCAUUGUCAGUUGCCACCAGGUCAUGCUGGGCACUCUGACGAAACUGCCCGUGUUAAGCGGGAGGAAGGGUGCGGAUGACGUCAAGUCAGUAUGGCCCUUACGCCCAGGGCUGCACACGUGCUACAAUGGCCGGUACAAUGGGAAGCAAGACCGCAAGGUGGAGCGAAUCCUAAAAACCGGCCCCAGUUCAGAUUGCAGUCUGCAACCCGACUGCAUGAAGCCGGAAUCGCUAGUAAAGGCGUAUCAGCUACGACGCCUUGAAUACGUUCCCGGGCCUU